Long non-coding RNA from Mustela erminea (ermine), 2553 nucleotides. RefSeq lists it as uncharacterized. The record is from RefSeq and is a predicted model, not a curated record. The transcript is spliced from 2 exons. NCBI's taxonomy places the organism in Eukaryota, Metazoa, Chordata, Mammalia, Carnivora, Mustelidae.
UGUCUCUCUCUCAAAUAAAUAAGUAAAAUUAAAUAAAAAAAAAAUUCAUUCAGCCAACCAACACAUAUGGGUGGGGGGAGGGUCCUGUCCCAGUGCUAGGAAUACAUUAGGUGGUAAAAGAGUCCUCAUAGAAUUUGCUGUUGGUAGGGGUGAAGCUGGAGGCUGGGAGAGAGGCAGGCAAUAAACAGCUAACUUCAGAAUUAUUUAAUUGGGAUUUUGGGAAGUGUAUGGAGCAGAACAGAGAAGCAUGAGUGGGCUCUGACCUAGCCAUGGAGACCAGGGAGCCCUCCCCAGCACAUGGCAUUUCAGCUGGAAGGAAUGAGUAGCUUUAGCUAUGUAGAGAAGGGGCCUGGGUGUGGUGGUGGUGGCAGGGAGGAUCUGUUGUGGCAGAGGGAACAGCUGUUAUGGCAAAGGGAACAGCAAGUGCAAAGGUCCUGAGGCAGAAAGGUGGUAGGUGCUUUAUAAGAACAGAAAGACAGCCAGUUUGGUUGGAGUCCUGGGAGAGAAGUGGGAGAGCAGAGCAAGUUGAGGCCAGAGGUAGCAGGCAGGGCUUGGCCAGGCUGGCCUAGUUGAGGUUGUUUAUCUUUACCCUAAGAGCUGUGGGAAGCCAUUUCUGGGCUCUCCCCAGGGGUGGGGACACCAUCUGGACCCCAUGAGAUCAGCACAGCUAAACCAGGCAGCAUUUAAUCCAGGAUGGUCCAAAAAGGGCACCAGGAGGUUGAGGAUCACCUGCGUAGGCACCUUGGCUCCCCAAGGCAAGGGUAACUUUAGGAAGAGACCCCAUUUCAGGCUUGAUGGACCUUGGGCAUGCUUCUUCUGCUGUUUGCCCAGUCACUCAGCAAAUGUUUAUGGACAGCCUGUGCUAGGUGCCUGGCAAACAGUGCCGAACCUCAGCAGAUAAUGGCUCCAAGUCUGGUGUAGCCUACAUAGUCUAGUGUGCUGGUUGCCAGCUUCCGUAAAGGGCCAGAUAACUGAUAUUUUAGGUUUUGUGGGCCAUAGAGUAUCUGUCGUAAUGAUCAACUCUACUGUUGUAGUGCAAAUCCAAGCCAUAGACCAUAUGUAAACAGAUAGGUGCAUGGGUGCAUUCCAAUAAAACUUUAUUUAGAAACACAGUCUGUGGGCCGGAUCUGGCCCAGGAGCUGCAGCAUGCCUGCCCCAUAUCUAUGGGCAUGAGAGUCCCUUUACAGAUCAUACCUGACAUGGUGUGAGCUGGUUAACGAGUUAGCAGAGGAAAGAUGGCAGGGGUAAAGAGUGGAGAGUGAAUAGAUACAGGAAGAAGUUAAGGGAAGCAGCCAUGAGAAGAUCUCGGCAGGUAGAGUUUCCAGCAGAAUGAACAGCACUCGAGAGCUUUAAGGUGGGAGCUACUUAAAGAACAGCGAAGGGGUUAGCGGGGCUGUUGGUGAGUCAGGGUGAGGAACGAGUGGCCGGGUGGGCCCCGGCUCAGGGACAAGUGUGUUAAGGAUUUCAGAUUACAUCAGGGGAAGCUUUGAAAUGCCUGGGGGCGUUUCAAGAGGCUGCUACAGGGUGAACAGACUGGAGGGGCGAAGGUAGAGUGGGGAGCCCAGGGAGGAGGUGCCUAGAGUCCAGGUGAGAGAGGAUGGCUGGCAGCUUAGGGCUGGAGCAUUGUGGAGAGGGAGAUGGGUGUGCCUGUGGCUUAUGUUUUGACAGGAGAGCCAUCAGGAUUCGCUAUGGAUUGGACAGAAGGCAUGUGAGAGAGAGGAGUCCGGCUGACCCAAGCCCUGGCAGGGAGGGUGGAGGGGCCUCUGCUGAGUGGGGGAGCUUGAUGCGGGUCAGGGUGGCCGGGAGGACCAGCGCCUUCCUUCACUCGGUCCGCUCUCAGAUGUGGGUCCUUUCGCAGUGGCAGCAGAACGCUGCUACUAGAGAAAAAUGAGAUCCUUCUGGACUGACUAUUUUUAAUAGCUUGGGAGACUCUAGAUUCAUGGCUCUGCCUUUUGAGGGCAAGGGGCUAGUCUGUGGGAUUUCUCAUCCUGCAAAUUUGGGUGAAUCUCUUCCCCUCCCUGGGCCCCAGCUUCCCCAUCUAUAAAAUGGCACAAGAUGAGACAUGAUGCAGAAGCCCUCAUUCUAAACUAAGCCAGUAGGUACACUGGAGCGUGAAGGGCUGGGAUUUGAACCCAGAGCCCCUCGGACUCCAGAGCUGUGUGGUCUCCCCCUCCAUCCCGUGGCUGUGUCACACAUGCAGAAUGACGAGAUAAGCCUAGGUGUGUGGCUUCUAAACCGUGGUUUGUGACCCACUGGUGGGCCAGAAGUCUGUUGAAUGAGUUACGACCAGCAUUUAAACCAAAUAACCCCAUCUAAGAGGAAAGAUAAGAGUGCACUGUAUGUAGCAGGGGGUUCCACGGAACCACACGUUUGGAGACCACGGCCAGGGGCAUCUUGCACGACUCAGACGAGCUGUGCUUUGUGCACCUGCGCCAAAACCUUGCCUUCCUCUUCAAGGAACCUGGGAUGAAAUGGCCUCCCUUUCCUCUGACGAGGGGAGGAGGCUCCAGCUUGGGGUUUGGUGUGGCGGGGAUUAGAAAGAACAAAAACAAA